Molecule: RNA transcript, 7753 nt
Organism: Lynx canadensis (Canada lynx)
Lineage: Eukaryota; Metazoa; Chordata; Mammalia; Carnivora; Felidae
Gene: RAB24
Gene name: RAB24, member RAS oncogene family
Exons: 10
Source: RefSeq, a predicted model, not a curated record
CUCCCCCUCCCCCGCGGGAGUCGCUGAGCUGCGGGUCUGACCCAGGUUGAAAGGGCCCCAGGUUCCGUGGGGAAUCCGUGCGGGAACGACGCCUAAGCCCAGCAAACGAGCUGGGCGGUGGCGUGCGGCGUGCGGCGCCGUUAAGGGCGCUGCCGCGCGCGCUCUCAGGCCGCCCCGAGUCCUGGGGGGACUUCGAAGGAGGAUCCGCGCCUGGGGCCAGAGAACGGGGCAGACGGGGGCACUGCCGGAGGCCGAGCCGACGCAGUGUCUCCAGUCGUAGGUUGGUGCCUGGGGUCGGGGACCGAGGUUUGGGCGCUGCCUGCCUGAGCGGAGAUCCGGGUUUGCCUCCGCCCCCGCUCAGGACCCUGACGCGGGUGAGGCGGCCCCGGGAGCAUGAGCGGGCAGCGCGUGGACGUCAAGGUGGUGAUGCUGGGCAAGGAGUACGUGGGCAAGACGAGCCUGGUGGAACGAUACGUGCACGACCGCUUCCUGGUGGGGCCCUAUCAGAACACCAUCGGGGCCGCCUUCGUGGCCAAGGUGAUGUCCGUUGGAGACCGGACGGUGACUUUAGGUAUUUGGGACACAGCAGGCUCUGAGCGCUACGAGGCGAUGAGCCGAAUCUACUACCGGGGUGCCAAGGCUGCCAUCGUCUGCUACGACCUGACGGACAGCAGCAGCUUUGAGCGGGCAAAGUUCUGGGUGAAGGAACUGCGCAACCUAGAGGAGGGCUGUCAGAUCUACCUGUGCGGCACCAAGAGUGAUCUGCUGGAGGAGGACAGGCGGCGUCGACGUGUGGACUUCCACGACGUCCAGGACUAUGCAGACAAUAUCAAAGCUCAGCUCUUUGAAACAUCCAGCAAGACAGGCCAGAGUGUGGACGAGCUCUUCCAGAAAGUGGCAGAGGAUUACGUCAGUGUGGCUGCCUUCCAGGUGAUGACAGGGGAAGCUGCCAGGACCAGACUUCCUUCCUGCCAUUCUGUUCUCAUGAUGUGACCUGGGAGUCCAGCUCCAGUAAGUAGAUGCUGCUGAGCCUGGAAAAGGAUCGCUGAUGCACUUCGUGCCCUGACUGUAGUGUGGGGUAGAGAAUGUGAAGAUAAAAUAAUUAUUUCCAUCAAUGCUAAAGAUGCAGAUUUGGUAGUUUUUCGUUAGAGGAUCAACACAGUGAUUUAAAUCACCUCAAACUCAGUAACUUCAGGGGGAAGCAGACAUUUAAAAACCUGGGAUGCUUCUGUAGCAAUGACAGCUAUUUUGCUAUUACAAUGGGUUUGCUCCAGGAGAAGCAAAUGAGGCUUUGAAUUCAAAUUUCAACAGUUUUUCUGACUUAACAGGGCUAGGAGACAUAUUGGUUCUUUAGCUACCUAUGGAAGCCAGCCAUGGCUUCACCCUCUGAAACAUUUCCUGAGGACUGGCUUAGAGGCAGACGCUCUUGAGAUCCUGAUUUCCAGGCCCUUGGCCAAAUACCAAAAUACCAUCCUGCACAAAGAUCAGGAGUUUCUAAGAGAAAAGCUUUCCUUUUAACUGCCAAUUCACGCCCUCUGGAAAAAAGGUCUCAGUACAAGACUCCAGGAGAGUCCCCAAGGGCUGGCAAGGUCACUCCCUCACCACUGUCCUUCAUGCAAGGGUCUCAAUUUCCCAACAGUCCAGUCCUUCUAAUUCUGCUUCUAAUUGUAUGGUGACUGCUUUCAUGAUGUUAACAAUCUGGUAUCAGAUGCUGCUAUCAGUGGGCCUGAUAGCUCAAUUUCUAGUUUCCAUUCCACCUAAGAGUCUUUCAGUAACCCUCACAAAAGCCUGGCUGUCCAUCCAUUUAGAUAAAGAACUGCCACCACCCCCCACCCCAAACCAAGCACAACUCAAAAGUUGUUUUCCCAGGCAAGUCUGGAAGGAAGUUUCCAGUAAAUGGUGGAGAAUGGAAAGAACCAAAACAAAAUCACAAAGUGGCCAAUCAUGGCCCACCUUUCCCUUAACUCCUUGUCCUAGAGCGGCUGUCAAGUCAAUUACCUACCAAAGCCUACUUCAGAGAAGCUAUUUAAGGAUCAAACUUCUCCACUUAAAAUUUUUUUACAUAGCCUGCACAUACCCCGCCCCCCCCCAAAUUCACAGUUUAUUUCAUGAAACAAAGAGCUACGGUAAUUUAACACACAACAUAGUGAAAGGAGAUUCUGACAGUGCAGUGCGAAUAUCUUUUUCUGAUCACAACUACUGAUGACAGGAGAGAAAAGGGCACAGGACUGGCACCAAGCAAACCCUACUCAUACAGCCUAAGAGAUUAGGGAAAGGGACCUACUAGCUGCAGUUAUAUACUUAUUAUUCUCACACAUGAUAAAUACUUAAUAUAGUGAACUUUAAUGUUCUGGGUGGAUUUCUUUAAAAAUAUCUUUUCCAUGGUUUAAAAUUUUUUUAAAAAGAAAAUAAGAUGCUUUGUUUUCUCUUCCUUUUGAAUAAAGAGCAUUUCCUCUCUCAUGAUGUGGGAAGAGAGGAUGAAAAGGGGAGAACUAGGCAGGUGGAAUUUACAGAGGAGAUUCCGAGGUCUAAGUGAGAUGCAGAGGUAUGCCCCUAAACUUGGGACAGCCCUGCCCAGCCUCGUACCUCUGCCUGAGUUCAAGUGUCUCAUCCCGAGACAGACUUUGGGAAAUAGAUGCAAAUUCUUCUUUUAAUCUUUAUAUAAAGCGCAAAUGCUUCUGUAACUAUUGUUCCCUCCUUAGAAAUGAUAUGGGUAACCUCAAUAGGAACUUAGGAGGAGGAAAUUGGGACAAAAUACAGAAUCCUGUUGAGGGUGUAAAAGCCAUAACUGAGACAGAAUGGCCGGGAGACAUUUGGGCCAGGAAAUGGCCUGUUGGCUAAAGCUGCUGGCUAAGUUGGCAAAGCAGAGAGGUAAACGUUUGGUCUAGGGACACAGGAGGAGUGAGUGAAUGGGAAGGAACUGGCCAAACAGCACUUCCUGUUGGCAGUUGGUGAGCUGGGUGAAUAGUAGGGCAGGGUAGCACCAACAGAUUUCCCAGCCCUUGGGCCCCAGCUCAGGGCAGCAGUAACAGAUAAUCAGCAGUUAUGAGGAAUCAUCUCUCAGACUGGACAUUGCUCUAAACACCAUAUCUUGCCAGUCAUAGGGGAAGGGUUCUGGCUUGCCUUUGAACUAAGUCAGCAGGCAGGUGCUCUCAAUAUAGAACACAGCAAUUCUCAGGGAUAGGGUGGUAGAAUCUACCAGUGAAGGAGAGGACUCCCUCCAUUCAGAUAGGAGGGCAAAGGAUCAAAAGAGAAGUAAUUUUCUAUCAGGAUCUGGCACUCUCCCUGAGCCGGCGGUAGAUCUAGCCCAGAGCUUGCCAGAGAUUCCCUAUGUCCACUGCCCGACUCUGAAAUCUGAAAGCACCUGAGUGUUUGGGGGGCAGGCAUGGGGUGGGGGUUGAUGUAAAAGGAGGAAAAUCAGUAGAAGAGAAAGGGAAGCUUGCCAAUUGCCUUCUUACACUCUGGGAAAGCUACGUCCUUGUAGAGCUCAGCCCCCACAACCAGCUACUCUGCCAAGGACAGAUCUUUAGAUUCUGCCCAGCCAACAGCUCCACAUGGCCUUGAUGCAACCCCCUCUCACCUAUAGAGGAGACCUCCACAUAAGGGUGUGUGCAUAAAUGUGCACACUCAACCAGAAGACACUUACUCAACACAACCACUUCUGGGGCCACAGAGGACAUUACAAAAUGAGUCUGUGGAGCCCCAGGGCCCCUCAGAACUUCCUGUUAUUUCCUGGUCAAAGGUUCAUGAAAACAGCCUGGGAACCCAGGCAGGCAUGUUAGGCUCACAGGGAUCAGGUCUUCUUUAUCUCUGUAUCUCCUGUCAGUGACUAGCACCUGGCCUAGCACAUGUGAAUGCUCAAGAAAUCACCACUGAUAUGAAUAGAUGUCAGUUCCUCCCAAGUGUUCAUCAGGGCCCUCAAUGGGGCUCCGCAGAACUAGAGAAAUAGCUUCGAGAGCCCCUCUAGCUUCCAACCUAACCAGUGGAAUUGAAUCCCAUGCUUGACUCCAGAGUGGACUUUUUAUUUCAAGUUACCAUGUGUAAAGGUUGGAGGAAAAAGACCCAAGUCUGUCUGUCUCCUUGGUUGGGGCCCACUUGGAUUUCCAUACAUGGUUUACACAACCACAUGCCCCCACUGGCUAAUGUCACAAGAGUUCUGAGUGUUGGGAUAUAAGGAAAGAAUAACAGUGGGAAAGUGUUGGGGUCUGUUUUUUUAAGAGGGGAAAAGAAAGAUGAUUUCCCUUCCCCAAGAACCCUGGGGGCAGCUGGUCUGGUCAUGUGACAUUUACUCGUAUUAUUUCUGUUCUGACUCUGCACACUUGUGACUGGAAGGAGCCUGGUUAAGAGCUGGAAGUGUAUUUUGCUCUGGUUUAGGGUCUUGCCCUCUUCCAAGAGACCAGCAAGUCUGUGCCAAUGUCUGUGUGCUCCCAGAGGACCAGCAAGACGGUGAUAUUGUCUGUCCAGCCACUAUAGGCCAGAGCCCUGGCCCUGGUGAGGCCUUUCCCAGGGCCCAGGGACUCUGCUCUGCGGUUGCCAACUUCUUCUCUUCAGUACAGAGGGAGGAUGGGGCCUUCCCAAGAGGCCUGAAGGAUUGCCCAUUCUUGGCAGCAAGUCCAGGUAGUUGCUGGCCUCCAGCCAUCUGCUUCACCUGCUUCACCAGGCCCGGUGCUUGACUGGGAGGCCCUGGUGUCUGCUCCACCCCCGCAGAUGCUCUUCCUGAGGCCGGAGUUGUUGGCUCAUAUAAAAAAGCCUUGGCAGGAGCCUGAGAGAGAAGUCUGGCCUGGCUCUCGGCAUCUGCCCUAGACCUUUGCUGGCAGUCCAUGAGCUUGAUUCCAACACCGGCAUCUUCUCAUCAAUCUGUGAUGUGACCUCAUGAGGUGAAGCAGCCCGUUCUUUCUGGUGAGGAGUUAGGUCCAUGAGAUCCAUUACCAAAGCAGCUCUAUUUUUUGACUGAGUAUUCUGGUCCACGGGCCUCAGUGCUUUUUCUUUAGCUACCAGGGUCUGGACCACAGCUGAUAGUACUUUGUCAGGAGGUGGGAGUCUCUGGGACAAAGAAGCAUGGGAUUUGUCUGGGGGCCUGUCUGAAGUCUGGGGUUUGGGACCACUGGUGACUAGCAGUCUGUCUGGAGGUGGAAGUCUUAGACCAGUAGGGACUGGGGCUUUCUCCAGUGACUGGGGCCUUGGGCUGGCAGCACCUAUGGAUUUAUCCAGCCUUGGGUCAGCUGUCCCCAGAGGUCUUUCCAGUGGUUGGGACCUGACUGAGGGUGAGGAGCUUAUGCCGGUCACUGGAGAGGGUUUGUCAGAUAGUUGGGGUCUUGGUCCUGCCACUGCAGGUGGCCUGUCCAGUGGCUUCUGGCUGGAUACCAAGGAUUGGGGUUUGGUCCCCGACCCAGCAAGGUCCCUGACCCUAUCUACAGGCUGGGGCCUGGAGUCAGUUCUGUCAGGAGGUCUUUCAGGCAGCGGUGGCCUCUGACAAGUUCCUGCCAGAGCUUUUUUGGACAGUGACAGUGUCUGGUUGGUGUCAGCAGGCAGCUUAUCCAACAUCUUGGGCCCCUGAGCAGCCACUCCUGAUGAAUGCUCUGCCAGGUGAGUGCCUGGGCCUGGAGGCAGCGGUACUGGGGGAGGCACAUACUCACGGAUCUCCCCAGGUUCCAGAGGGUUGGGCCCGCAGGGGUCAUGCUCAGUACAAGACAAACGCCCAUCCAACUUGGAGAUGAAGAGCAUCCCUUCCCGAUGCUGCUUACAAAAGGAACUGGGACACAUCUCACAGAAGGAGGCUGCUUCCUUCCCACAGAUGUCACACUGAUGCCAAGGACACUCCCAUUUCCCUGAAAACACAGAUGUGAAACAAACCCUUAGGAAAAUAAGCAAGGUACAUGAAAUGGGCCAUGGCUCUGAGCCUGGGUCAAAGGAGUGAUUUCAAACUGCCACCUUCUGCAGAUCAGGUCACUCAUCCAAUACCUCCCCUUGCCCCAGAAUCUCAGAUUCUCCUGUACAACACAUAAAAAUAAAAGCCAAGUACCAAGUAGCAAGUAAGUAUCAACUAAAUAUACAAGCAGAGGUAAUUUCUUAUUACUAUGACUAUUUCUAUCAAGGGGGAAAAAAACCCAAAUGUCCCUUUAGAUAGAAUGUGAAGAUAGUACUUUCACAGGUUUGCAAACUCCAUUUGUCUUAUAUAGCCUUUAAAAUAUUCAACUCUAAGGGGAUAAUCUCAAUUAUUUAAACUUCUGCUUAUUUGGUUAUAUUUAGGAAUAGGGAACUGAUACACAACUGUGAAAAAUGGGAACAGAUUUUCCUUUGCUCAAUUUUAAGCCUUGAAACCAGCACAAACUUUACCUAUACUGUGCACACAGAACCAGUGGAAAAGACCUUUACUUACCAUCUGUUUGCCCCCAUUUCAUGACACCUGAGAGUCUCUGUCAUGGACAGUGUUUCUGCCUCGGCUCAUAGUUUUCAAAUAAACUAUGCUAGCCCUGACUCCUGGCUCAUAGGCAAGAUCAGUUCUACUGUGGCCUGUGCCAGCUAUAAUCUUGAGUUAUUGAUUUUGAAACGAUUCUCCAUUUCUAUUUCCUGGCGCUGACAGGUCAUGUUGUGGCCUUGCCCUCACACUACCUCCAUUUAUAUGAUUUCAUUACCCUAGCAACUGUACACUGAAGGAAAGCUAGUUCAGAGACAAACUCCUCUCACUCUCACCCUAAAAUUCUUCUCUUUCUGCAAUUCCUGGAAGCAGGCCACUAGUGACGUAUAAUCUCACUGGGAGUGGCUCCGUACUGCUUUCAUACCUCUGUCAUCAAAAACAGACCACAUAUCCAAGUCCCUCAAAACUCUUCUAACUCCAAGUAACUGCUCAAAAGUUAGUGGCUUCUCCAGCUACCAAUUCCCAGACACUGUCUGCCUAAGCAGCUCUCUCACGCGUUAGCUGAUACAGUUGACUCUCCUUCAGAGGGGUGUAGGUGAGGGGGGCUAAAAGGGUGUCUAGUCCACAACUCACUGACUGGAAUAACCCCAAACUCUAUGCUGUCUUAACCUCUCUUUCUUUAGAAAGGAAACAUGGUUUAGUGGCCUUGAGGUCAGAAAACCUGGCUUUCAAUCCAGCUCCUCCAUCUAUAUGCUCUAUUAUGACAAUUCAUCUCACCAAACUGGACUCUCAGUUUCCUCAUCUGCAUCAUGGGAAGAAUGAGAACAUGAACCAUACCCCCUCAACGCUAUGCUUGGGAAGACCAAGGGGAGUGUUACAAUUACGGCAGAGAACAAAGAGCACCCUAAAUGGAUUUUAGCACCAACCUGCUGGUCGCUUGGUUAGAUUGAGACAGUCAGCGUGGUAAACUUUUGGGCAGCCUGGCUUCUUGCAAGAGACGAGCUGGCCAGCAUCCCCACAGCUGAAACACUCAUCCUCUCUUUCCUUUGUGAUUUCACCCUGGGUCCUGCGCUUCCCCUGUUGCUUCUUCUUGAAUUUCUUUGACUUUUCUUCCGUGGCAAUGGGUUGAUUCUAGAGGUCAGAUAUUGAGCAGUCAGCAUUCUGUCGAUACAUUAGUUGUAUGAUCUUGACCAGGUUAACUAUUCUCUCUGAGCCUCAGUCUCUCCUCUGGGAAGAGACAAUCCUCAUAGACUGUUGUAAAGAUAAGAGAAAAUACAGGAAAGGCACCUGGCACGUCAUAGGUACCCAAUAAAUAGUUGCAUUAAUUCUAACUUUUCUAUGAACUACUCCUGCCACCUGCAUGAAAUAAGAGAAAUAAACUUUUUUGUUAACAUA